Molecule: long non-coding RNA, 1827 nt
Organism: Parus major (Great Tit)
Lineage: Eukaryota; Metazoa; Chordata; Aves; Passeriformes; Paridae
Exons: 6
Source: RefSeq, a predicted model, not a curated record
GUUUAAGAAGCGGCAGCUCGGAACACUUCGGUCCAGAGAGUAAAACACCCAACAGGAGAGCAGUUCCUCCAUAUAGACCCACGUGUUUCACCUGGCCUCUGGAAAGAGGACUGCCAGCAUUACUAUGGAAACCCCCAAAAAUAAAGACUCCCAGCCUUGUGAGAGUACACCUGCAAGAGUAAGAGCUGCCUAUCAAAAGUGACUUCUUCAUUAUGGAUGUCACCUAAGGACAUUUUGUGUGGACUGGAGCUUCUUGUUGUACAAAUGAAAAAUUUUCCCAAAAAAAUCUGGUGUUUGGAAGCAGAAAUCUUUCCAAAAGUGCACAGGAGUGAUUUUCCUUGGACAUCAGUGAUUAAUGGAAACUCCAGAUCACUUCAGUAAAAUCAGUCUCACAAGGAAGAACCUGCAACGUCUCAGAAAGGACCCAAACCCAGUGAGUGCAUCUUCCAUAAGUGAAACCUGUCCAUCUUCUAAAAUCAUCUCAUGGGAAGAGAUGUCCACAGUAACACUAAACCACUGUAACAGCAAGCCAGGACCUGGGGAACACCUGGUGUGCAUUCAGUAUGAAACAGAAGUUCAUCAGUGCCAGUGCCCAACAGGCUUCAGGGCUGUGUUUUCUAUCCCCAGACUAAAGUCCAGCUCCUGCUGCCCAAACAAAACUGGAAAAAAACUGCUGGUUUAAGAUCUUGGUAGACGUGCUGCAGAGCUGCCCUUCAGAAUUCUCUGGUUUGUAUCGGGAAGGAGGAGGCGUCACCCACGGAGGUGACAGUGAGUGAGGAGAGCUGGAGCUGAAGGAUGCUCCCUGUACCUGCACCCUGCAGCUCCCCAGCACCAUCCCUGCACGUCCCACACGAGCCCUGCCCAUGCAGGAUCCGUGCAAAGGAAGGGUGGAGCGGGUUCCUCUCCUCCUGUCUGCGGCUGGAGAUAGCACAUCCUGAACGCCUUGCGCUUGCUGCUGCCCCUUUUCCUCCUUCCCGCCGAGCCACGGCGGAAAACCAGCAACGCUCGCCUGGGAGGUGCCUCGGCUCCCACGGAGACACCCACGAGGGAGGGAGAUACAAAGGACAGCUGAGCAGAUACCGCCACCAGCACAGAGCCACAGGAGCUCCCUGGAGAUGGCCUUGGCCUCCUCCGAGUCCCUCCGGACUCUACAGCUGCUCCUGCCGUACAGAUGGGAAAACGUUUGAGUGUGCACACGUGAGAGCCUCUUAGGAAAUACCUGUGGAGGCAUCUCAGUCAAAAUUAGAACACUGUGUGCAUAUAUUUAUUUAUUAAAAAACAGCGAGAGGACUUCUACACUUCUAUACCCAUAGCUGUGGGCACCCGUGUCUCCGCAGCACACACCGCGUGGUGAGAACAUCACACCCCGCAGGAGUGUAGCCUGGGCUGAUUAUGGCAAAGAAAAGUCUUGUUCAUACAAUCCACUGAAGUCAGACAAGUUCCAUUUAAAUAUAAACAAAACCUUACACAGUGGUCCACUUAAGGAGGUCCAGAGGUCCGAUUAAGGAAUUCUUUUUCUCUGACACUUAAGAUAUGGAUAUAGCUUGUAUCUCCUCUGACAGUUGUAUCUGUCCACUACCCAGUAAUGUUUCACUCCACUUAAGUAAAAGCAUCAUAUGCAAGAGAAACAAUAAUGCUAUAAAACAAAGACUUUGACUACUCCAGGUCUAUUCCAUACCCAAAAUCCCAAAGGUUUCCUUCUUCAAAGGAAUAAUGUCCUCAGUAUUUGUUAAAGUUUAAGCCACAGUAAGAACAUUUUUAAGGUGCUUCCUCCAAUAGCUUUCAACAUAGUUCGAUCUGCAGACCUAUAAAAAAACCCCACAAUUA